GACAGAGGGUGCAAACGUUGCUCGGAAUUACUGGGCGUAAAGCGCGUGUAGGUGGAUUGGUGUGUCAGAUGUGAAAUCCCUGGGCUCAACCCAGGAACUGCACCUGAAACUACCAGUCUUGAGUGGUGGAGAGGGAAGUGGAAUUCCUGGUGUAGAGGUGAAAUUCGUAGAUAUCAGGAGGAACACCAGUGGCGAAGGCGGCUUCCUGGACAGCAACUGACGCUGAGACGCGAAAGCGUGGGGAGCAAACAGG
Molecule: ribosomal RNA, 253 nt
Filed under: uncultured bacterium
Lineage: Bacteria
Description: partial 16S ribosomal RNA
Rfam family: Bacterial small subunit ribosomal RNA
Source: RNAcentral